GGCCGCGUUCUCCUCCAGGACGUGCAGGAGCCUUCCCCACAUGAGUGGUAACACUCAGGAAGCCGCCAUGGCCUUGGAGAAGAACCUGAAUGAGG
This is a non-coding RNA of Eptesicus fuscus (big brown bat), 95 nucleotides long. The record is from RefSeq and is marked provisional. Lineage: Eukaryota; Metazoa; Chordata; Mammalia; Chiroptera; Vespertilionidae.